UACGAAGGGGGCUAGCGUUGUUCGGAAUCACUGGGCGUAAAGCGCACGUAGGCGGAUCGUUAAGUCGAGGGUGAAAUCCCAGGGCUCAACCCUGGAACUGCCUUCGAUACUGGCGAUCUUCGAGUCCGGGAGAGGUGAGUGGAAUUCCGAGUGUAGAGGUGGAAUUCGUAGAUAUUAGGAAGAACACCAGUGGCGAAGGCGGCUCACUGGUCCGGUACUGACGCUGAGGUGCGAAAGCGUGGGGAGCAAACAGG
RNAcentral lists this ribosomal RNA (254 nucleotides) under uncultured bacterium. RNAcentral's name for it is "partial 16S ribosomal RNA". It matches the Rfam family "Bacterial small subunit ribosomal RNA", at positions 524 to 776 of the family's 1533-position model. The record is from RNAcentral.